Molecule: ribosomal RNA, 486 nt
Filed under: uncultured bacterium
Lineage: Bacteria
Description: partial 16S ribosomal RNA
Rfam family: Bacterial small subunit ribosomal RNA
Source: RNAcentral
AUUGAACGCUGGCGACAUGCCUUACACAUGCAAGUCGAACGGCAGCACGGGUGCUUGCACCUGGUGGCGAGUGGCGAACGGGUGAGUAAUACAUCGGAACAUGUCCUGUAGUGGGGGAUAGCCCGGCGAAAGCCGGAUUAAUACCGCAUACGAUCUACGGAUGAAAGCGGGGGACCUUCGGGCCUCGCGUUAUUGGGUUGGCCGAUGGCUGAUUAGCUAGUUGGUGGGGUAAAGGCUUACCAAGGCGACGAUCAGUAGCUGGUCUGAGAGGACGACCAGUCACACUGGGACUGAGACACGGCCCAGACUCCUACAGGAGGCAGCAGUGGGGAAUUUUGGACAAUGGGCGAAAGCCUGAUCCAGCAAUGCCGCGUGUGUGAAGAAGGCCUUCGGGUUGUAAAGCACUUUUGUCCGGAAAGAAAUCCUUGGCCCUAAUACGGUCGGGGGAUGACGGUACCGGAAGAAUAAGCACCGGCUAACUACGUG